RNAcentral lists this ribosomal RNA (472 nucleotides) under uncultured Anaerolineaceae bacterium. RNAcentral describes it as "bacterial SSU rRNA". It matches the Rfam family "Bacterial small subunit ribosomal RNA", at positions 897 to 1382 of the family's 1533-position model. Lineage: Bacteria; Bacillati; Chloroflexota; Anaerolineae; Anaerolineales; Anaerolineaceae. The record is from RNAcentral.
AAACUUAAAGGAAUUGACGGGGGCCCGCACAAGCAGCGGAGCGUGUGGUUUAAUUCGAGGCUACACGAAGAACCUUACCUGGGUUUGACAUAGCGGUGGUAGGGAACCGAAAGGGGACCGACCUUCGGGAGUCGUUACAGGUGCUGCAUGGCUGUCGUCAGCUCGUGCCGUGAGGUGUUCGGUUAAGUCCGGUAACGAGCGCAACCCUCGUCGCUAGUUACACGUUGUCUAGCGAGACUGCCCGUGAUAAGCGGGAGGAAGGUGGGGAUGACGUCAAGUCAGCAUGGCCUUGAUGCCCAGGGCUACACACACGCUACAAUGGCCGGUACAAUGGGUCGCCAACCCGCAAGGGGGAGCCAAUCCAGCAAAGCCGGUCUCAGUUCGGAUUGCAGGCUGCAACCCGCCUGCAUGAAGUCGGAGUUGCUAGUAACCGCGCGUCAGCCAUAGUGCGGUGAAUACGUUCCCGGGCCUU